CCUUCCGGUGGGCCUUAUGCCAGCCGCAGCUGGCCACUGGCCAGAGCAGCAAAGGCG
This 57-nucleotide transfer RNA is filed under the name Alexandrium monilatum. Its description in RNAcentral is "partial Selenocysteine transfer RNA". The record is from RNAcentral. Lineage: Eukaryota; Dinophyceae; Gonyaulacales; Pyrocystaceae.